Molecule: non-coding RNA, 1593 nt
Organism: Punica granatum (pomegranate)
Lineage: Eukaryota; Viridiplantae; Streptophyta; Magnoliopsida; Myrtales; Lythraceae
Source: RefSeq, a predicted model, not a curated record
UAGUGGUAACAGCAGAACGACUAAGAGCGCUGGAGUAUUUUGGGGCAGGCCUGGGUAGGAGAUAUUUCCUCCUGAGGACCCGAGCCCAAGGUCUGUCAUCACUCUUGAGUCUCAAAGCAAACUUGCCUAGGAGAGCGAUGUUUCGACCUUUAGUAGGGGGUUAUCAGUCGAUCCCCAAAUAAAAUUAUGAGCAAGACAAUCAAGGGAAUUGCAAAAUAGUUUGUGGGAGGAGGGUACAUUGCAUGAUAUGAGAUGGGAUAGAGGCAAGAACAAAGUUUGCAAGAGUGACCCUCCCGGCCAUUGACAGAGAAUUCGCUUUCCAACCGGUGAGUUUAUCUUUGAAUUUAUCAAUUAAGAAAUGGAAAGUGGAAAAGGGCCUAGGAGACAUGUCCAGACCAUGGGGAAGCCUAAGCAUUUUCUAAGAGUCGGUGCUUCCGAGAUCUCCAAAGUAUCAAGAACAAAGUUUUUUAACCGAGAGAAUUAACACCAAGCGGGGGUCGGGGAUCUGCUUCGUUGCCUUCCUCCCGAAUUGGAAUUAACACCAACCACGGAUGCACGCCUCGUGGCAUGAGUAGCGGCAGAUUCGGGCACGUGUCGCCCACCAUUGAACCCAGUGGGAAGUCCCUGAAGAAGUGUCAAGCCCUCCGAUGCAUAGUGUUCUAUCUUAAUGGUGCCAUGCUCCUCAUUUUCGCGAGGGCAGUCUCCAUGAGUUGCUCGCAUGAGUUGGUUUUCCUUCACGUCCCCCGAUCUGUCUACAGAGGAUGAAUUGUUAGGGUUUGACCCAUUUUCAGGGAUGGAGAGUAAAGGUACAGAAGAUAAGGCACACAGUGCCAGCAUCCAUUGGAGUAGAUUGGGCCGCCUCAUUAUGGGCUGGGUUGAUAUCUAUUUCAGCAUUUGGGCUAGAGGUAGCCCGCAUCUCAUUGGAGUCCAACAACAUGUCUCUCACUUCGGGCUCUCCUUGGCCAUCAGGUAUAUUGUUUUUGUCCCUGCGAUGGCUCCAGAGGAUGAGGCGUCCUGGUCAUCAUCGUAGUGUUGCUCAAUUCCAAAAGCCUCUUCAUAAGCCCCAGGGAGAGCACCUGCGAGUUCGUCUUUGUAUGAAGUUGCAGCAAUCGAACGUUCGCCAGUUGCGAUAGGAGCUGCAGGGGUGACACCUCCAGACGCAGUGGAUCUUGCAUUGGUGCUCAGAAGAUGGGGUUGAUCAGAAUGAGAGUCCUUGAUGCGUUUGUUACUCCUUCGAAUUUCAUCAGCUUCCUCUGUCGAAAUGUCACGAGUUUCCCCUUGGGAAGGGAGAUGGGUGGGAGGGAGGAGAGGCAGAGAGAGAACACGCCAUUAAAUGUUAGGAACAUUACGCAAAAAGGAGAAGAAAUGCCAUUCAAUUUUGCCAGCUGUUAUUGUUGAAAAGCCUUAAAACAAACAGGGCUUCCAACAUUGUAGUAAGGUAUGGUUUUUACUUGCCUUCGGUUCAUGAUUUUGUAGUCGACAAGAAAGACCCUUGACACUGUGAAGUUUGCUUUGAGAGGUGGAAAUGGUGAACCCCAUCUCUUAUUGAUAUGUUUAGAAUUGAUGAAUUAAGAACUGUUGAUUUGAGUUAUA